Molecule: non-coding RNA, 74 nt
Organism: Podarcis lilfordi (Lilford's wall lizard)
Lineage: Eukaryota; Metazoa; Chordata; Lepidosauria; Squamata; Lacertidae
Source: the annotation of a GenBank genome assembly
AGCCAGUGUGGUGCAGUUGUUAAGAGUGCUUGGCUGUGACCUGGGAGACCAGGGUUCGAAUCCCCACUUGGCCA